GGAAGGAUCAUUACCAUAUCCAAAACUUUACCAACCCACCGUGUGAACUGUUUGUGUUGGGUGUUGCAGCCCGACCUAUAUUUACCAACCACGAGUUUUUUUCUCGUGGCCGUCCAACCGCCGCGAGAAAGCUUCUUUUGCGGUUGGUAAAUUGAAUAACCCCUUUGUAAAACCACUCUUGAAUGAAAACCUGACUUGUGGGGUUCUUUUGUUUUACAAAAAGACCACACGACUAAAACAAAACCAAUAGACAACUUACAACGGUGGAUCUCUUGGCUCGUGCAUCGAUGAAGAACGCAGCCAGCUGCGAUACGUAAUGUGAAUUGCAGAACUUAGUGAAUCAUCGAAUCUUUGAACGCAAAUGGCGCUCUCGGCACUCCCGGGAGCAUGUCUGUCUGAGUGUCAUUUAAACAACCUCGUUCUCGCGUGGGCACCCUGAUUGCAAAGUCGGGCGCGUGCGUGGGGACGGCAGUGAGGCGGUCACGGACCAGUUUUUCCGCUUGGUAACAAGAGGAAAAGCGUACUUGAAAGUCCGAGUCCCUUCAAACGCCGAGACGUGCGAACAACCGAUUUAAGCUUGAUCUGAAUCGCUUGCCGCAACACCGAGUGUGACAAUUUGCUCGAAUGCGUAGCAUUUUUCAAACGCUAGGGUGGUGUGGUUGAGUGUUUGGGGAAGUGUGGCUGUUUAUGCACUUGUCGAGACUAUAUUUGUUGCAGCCGAGGCAAAAGGGGACUUUUCCUUUGGGGAGGGCUUUUUUUUUUGCGGAGGGGGCAACAGUGUUUUCAACCUUGACCUCAGCUCAGGCAAGAUUACCCGCUGAAUUUAAGCAUAUUAAUAAGCGGAGGAAAAGAAACUAACAAGGAUUCCCCUAGUAACGGCGAGUGAAGCGGGAAGAGCUCAAAUUUGAAAUCUCCGAGGUCUCCUCGGCGAAUUGUAGUUUAGAGAAGCGUUUUCAGAGCACGGCGGCUGCCUAAGUCCCUUGGAACAGGGCAUCAAAGAGGGUGAGAAUCCCGUUCAGGUGGUUGCUGGUGCUUGCUACGAUACGCUCUCAACGAGUCGGGUUGUUUGGGAAUGCAGCCCAAAAUGGGUGGUAAAUUUCAUCUAGAGCUAAAUAUGGGCACGAGACCGAUAGCGAACAAGUACCGCGAGGGAAAGAUGAAAAGCACUUUGAAAAGAGAGUGAAAAGUACGUGAAACCGUUGCAAGGGAACCGAUUGAAGUCAGCAGUGCUGUGCAGACAAUCAGCCACGGGUACUGAAGCCUGGGGAUGGAGGCAGCGUAAGCGCCUUGUUUCCGGAAUGGAGGCUACCGGUGGUGUACUUGUUUGUGGAGCAGGUCAGUAUCGGUUUGUGGCGCGAGAGAUGGGGAGCAGAAAGGUAGCUCUUUCGGGAGUGUUUAGUCUGUUUCCUGCGUCGCGUGAUGGACCGAGGAGUCGAAGUGCGUGCCUUUCGGGGCUGGCCCAAGUCUGGUGUUGUGUGCCGCGGGGUGGGACUACAUGUAGUGCCGCGCUGCUGGUGCGGAGCAUGCGGAUGCAAGCACAAACGCGCUGCGGAUACUGGCGAAAUGGCUUCCACCGACCCGUCUUGAAACACGGACCAAGGAGUCUAACAUAUGCGCGAGUCUUAGGGUGGCAAACCCGGGAGGCGGAAUGAAAGUGAGAGACGAGAGCCCUUCACGGGGUGCAUCGUCGACCGAUCUGGAUAUUCUUUGAAAGAUUUGAGUAAGAGCGUAUCUGUUGGGACCCGAAAGAUGGUGAUCUAUGCCUGAAUAGGGUGAAGUCAGAGGAAACUCUGAUGGAGGCUCGUAGCGGUUCUGACGUGCAAAUCGAUCGUCAAAUUUGGGUAUAGGGGCGAAAGACUCAUCGAACUAUCUAGUAGCUGGUUCCCAC
RNAcentral lists this unclassified non-coding RNA (1888 nucleotides) under uncultured fungus. Its description in RNAcentral is "sequence contains 18S rRNA gene, ITS1, 5.8S rRNA gene, ITS2, 28S rRNA gene". The stretch from base 791 to 1888 matches the Rfam family "Eukaryotic large subunit ribosomal RNA", at positions 1 to 961 of the family's 3401-position model. The record is from RNAcentral. Lineage: Eukaryota; Fungi.